RNAcentral lists this ribosomal RNA (567 nucleotides) under uncultured bacterium. RNAcentral's name for it is "bacterial SSU rRNA". It matches the Rfam family "Bacterial small subunit ribosomal RNA", at positions 338 to 916 of the family's 1533-position model. The record is from RNAcentral.
CCUACGGGAGGCAGCAGUGGGGAAUAUUGCACAAUGGGCGGAAGCCUGAUGCAGCGACGCCGCGUGAGGGAUGACGGCCUUCGGGUUGUAAACCUCUUUCAGUAGGGAAGAAGCGUAAGUGACGGUACCUGCAGAAGAAGCGCCGGCUAACUACGUGCCAGCAGCCGCGGUAAUACGUAGGGCGCAAGCGUUAUCCGGAAUUAUUGGGCGUAAAGAGCUCGUAGGCGGUUUGUCGCGUCUGCCGUGAAAGUCCGGGGCUCAACUCCGGAUCUGCGGUGGGUACGGGCAGACUAGAGUGAUGUAGGGGAGACUGGAAUUCCUGGUGUAGCGGUGAAAUGCGCAGAUAUCAGGAGGAACACCGAUGGCGAAGGCAGGUCUCUGGGCAUUAACUGACGCUGAGGAGCGAAAGCAUGGGAGCGAACAGGAUUAGAUACCCUGGUAGUCCAUGCCGUAAACGUUGGGCACUAGGUGUGGGGGACAUUCCACGUUUUCCGCGCCGUAGCUAACGCAUUAAGUGCCCCGCCUGGGGAGUACGGCCGCAAGGCUAAAACUCAAAGGAAUUGACGG